RNAcentral lists this ribosomal RNA (199 nucleotides) under uncultured bacterium. RNAcentral describes it as "partial 16S ribosomal RNA". It matches the Rfam family "Bacterial small subunit ribosomal RNA", at positions 1294 to 1500 of the family's 1533-position model. The record is from RNAcentral.
CGGACUGGAGUCUGNAACCCGACUCCACGAAGUUGGAUUCGCUAGUAAUCGCGCAUCAGCCAUGGCGCGGUGAAUACGUUCCCGGGCCUUGUACACACCGCCCGUCAAGCCAUGGGAGCCGGGGGCGCCUGAAGUCCGGGACCGCGAGGACCGGCCUAGGGCGAAACUGGUAACUGGGGCUAAGUCGUAACAAGGUAUC